AUACGGAGGGUUCGAGCGUUAUCCGGAAUCAUUGGGUUUAAAGGGUCCGUAGGCGGGAAUCUAAGUCAGUGGUGAAAUCUUGCAGCUCAACUGUAAAAUUGCCAUUGAUACUGGAUUUCUUGAAUUAGUGUGAAGUGGUUAGAAUGUGUAGUGUAGCGGUGAAAUGCAUAGAUAUUACACAGAAUACCAAUUGCGAAGGCAGAUCACUAACACUAUAUUGACGCUGAGGGACGAAAGCGUGGGGAGCGAACAGGAUUAGAAACCCCAGUAGUCC
Molecule: ribosomal RNA, 274 nt
Filed under: uncultured bacterium
Lineage: Bacteria
Description: partial 16S ribosomal RNA
Rfam family: Bacterial small subunit ribosomal RNA
Source: RNAcentral